UUGUUUCUUGACUUCUAAGUUUCAUUUUGCUUUUGUUUACUAUUGAUUGACCUUGAUCCCAUUCAUCUUUGGUCAACGUACUUUGCUUAUUUCAUUUGAAUUUCAAUUCAUGUACAUUCUUAUUCAUCUUCUUCUUCUUCAUCAUCUUUUUUUUUCUUUUUUAUCAAUGAGUUAAAGAUUGGGUGUUAGCCUUGAUAUAUGGGAGGUUUAAC
Molecule: long non-coding RNA, 212 nt
Filed under: Lathyrus oleraceus (garden pea)
Lineage: Eukaryota; Viridiplantae; Streptophyta; Magnoliopsida; Fabales; Fabaceae
Description: Pisum sativum (pea) long non-coding RNA (PSAT_LNC026346)
Source: RNAcentral